GUUAAGGCUAGAAGGCAUACAGCAAAAACUACUGGGCAUGCGCACAUCAAUAUAGUGUAUUUUUUCUCACACUGUUCAACAAUAAUUACUAUUUUUGCAUUAUUGUAAGGGGUAGGUGUAGACGUUAAUAAAACACAAUCUAAUAGGUAGAAAAUUUCAAUUUAUUGUUAGCUUCCGGUUCGCAACCCACCAUAAAAUCAAAAGAAGAAGAAGAAGUAUGGGAUUACUCAGUGCACCUGUGGAAACAGACAAUAUUUGAUCAGGAAUCCUUCAGUCAUGAAGACACAUGCUCUUAAUCAAAUCUAAUCGGGUCCCACUGGAUUCAUACGGGUCUCCAAAAC
This 341-nucleotide long non-coding RNA is filed under the name Sinocyclocheilus anshuiensis. Its description in RNAcentral is "lncRNA (ENSSANG00000025999.1)". The record is from RNAcentral. Lineage: Eukaryota; Metazoa; Chordata; Actinopteri; Cypriniformes; Cyprinidae.